Molecule: non-coding RNA, 732 nt
Organism: Malus domestica (apple)
Lineage: Eukaryota; Viridiplantae; Streptophyta; Magnoliopsida; Rosales; Rosaceae
Source: RefSeq, a predicted model, not a curated record
UCUCCCGGUUAUCUUUUGCCUCUCCCCGAAACUCUUUCUCGAUCGCUUUUCUCUCCUCUAUGGAGGAACUCACACACACACAUACAUACAAACACCCAGACGACCACCACCACUAGGACCCUUACUUUUCUCGCUCACCCUUCCCUCGAUCUCCCCCUCUCUUCCUUGCACGCACUGUAGCACAGUCAAUGUGCUUGCAUCUCACCGGCGAGUUUUCGACAGUGCAACUAAGGGACAACUCGGGGAAGCAUUCUCCAUACUUUCUGAGGACUGCCGUGAGCUUUGCAGGCGACUCUCUCUCAGCCUUCUCCGCCCACCUAUUCUACUUGGAUGAGAUGGAGGCCCAAUUGCAAAUCUGGCCCAUGUGCCCAUAUGUAAUAAACCCUAAACAUGCUCCGGUGAACUGGACAGAAGAAUCGGCUGUUUCAAUUCAGUGAUGAUUUUUCUUACUUAUAAAUACCGGCAUACCUUGUUUGGUUUGUUCCUCUGAAUCGCCCAGUGUUGCAGUAUUUCUCAAGUGUUGCUAUGGAGCCUGAGAAUGGCGAAGAUAUUCUAUUUGGGACCUGCAACAUUGUUGCUAUUAUUGGUUCCUGCUUUUUUAUAGCUUCUCUUAUGAAGAAAGACAAAUUGGCCAUUUCGAGUGGUGACUAUAACAAGAUAUGGAAACUUGACGAUACUCUGUAUCUUACCAUGAAUGGUAGUCGGUCAUCGAAAAGAUGAAAAUCGAUACUA